UACGUAGGGUGCAAGCGUUAAUCGGAAUUACUGGGCGUAAAGCGUGCGCAGGCGGUUUUGUAAGUCUGUCGUGAAAUCCCCGGGCUCAACCUGGGAAUUGCGAUGGAGACUGCAAGGCUAGAAUCUGGCAGAGGGGGGUAGAAUUCCACGUGUAGCAGUGAAAUGCGUAGAGAUGUGGAGGAACACCGAUGGCGAAGGCGGCAUCCUGGACCAAUUCUGACGCUGAGGAGCGAAAAGCCAGGGGAGCAAAGCGGG
This 255-nucleotide ribosomal RNA is filed under the name uncultured bacterium. RNAcentral describes it as "partial 16S ribosomal RNA". It matches the Rfam family "Bacterial small subunit ribosomal RNA", at positions 524 to 777 of the family's 1533-position model. The record is from RNAcentral.